UGGGGAAUUUUGCGCAAUGGGCGAAAGCCUGACGCAGCAACGCCGCGUGGGUGAUGAAGGUCUUCGGAUCGUAAAACCCUGUCGUCAGGGACGAAGGUUACGGGUUGAAUAUUCCUGUGACUUGACGGUACCUGGAGAGGAAGCCCCGGCUAACUCUGUGCCAGCAGCCGCGGUAAUACAGAGGGGGCAAGCGUUAUUCGGAAUUAUUGGGCGUAAAGGGCGCGUAGGCGGUGUUUUAAGUGAGAUGUGCAAUCCCCGAGCUUAACUUGGGAACUGCAUCUCAGACUGGAACGCUAGAGUACUGGAGAGGGUGGUAGAAUUCCACGUGUAGCGGUGAAAUGCGUAGAGAUGUGGAGGAAUACCAGUGGCGAAGGCGGCCACCUGGACAGUAACUGACGCUGAGGCGCGAAAGUGUGGGUAGCAAACA
RNAcentral lists this ribosomal RNA (427 nucleotides) under uncultured microorganism. RNAcentral describes it as "bacterial SSU rRNA". It matches the Rfam family "Bacterial small subunit ribosomal RNA", at positions 355 to 774 of the family's 1533-position model. The record is from RNAcentral.